This 465-nucleotide ribosomal RNA is filed under the name uncultured bacterium. RNAcentral describes it as "partial 16S ribosomal RNA". It matches the Rfam family "Bacterial small subunit ribosomal RNA", at positions 28 to 507 of the family's 1533-position model. The record is from RNAcentral.
GACGAACGCUGGCGGCGUGCUUAACACAUGCAAGUCGAACGGAAAGGCCCUGCUUGCAGGGUACUCGAGUGGCGAACGGGUGAGUAACACGUGGGUGAUCUGCCCUGCACUUCGGGAUAAGCCUGGGAAACUGGGUCUAAUACCGGAUAGGAGCCAUUUUUAGUGUGAUGGUUGGAAAGUUUUUUCGGUGUAGGAUGAGCUCGCGGCCUAUCAGCUUGUUGGUGGGGUAAUGGCCUACCAUGGCGGCGACGGGUAGCCGGCCUGAGAGGGUGGACGGCCACAUUGGGACUGAGAUACGGCCCAGACUCCUACGGGAGGCAGCAGUGGGGAAUAUUGCACAAUGGGCGCAAGCCUGAUGCAGCGACGCCGCGUGGGGGAUGACGGCCUUCGGGUUGUAAACUCCUUUCGCUAGGGACGAAGCUUUUUGUGACGGUACCUAGAGAAGAAGCACCGGCUAACUACGUG